AUACCCACACCUCUGAAACUGUGAGCUAAAAUCCAUCUCACCUGCUUCUUAUGAGUUGAUUUUAUUACCUAAUAAAAUGUCCCCAAACUGAUAGGAUUCCCUACCCUUUAGCUUUCUUCUACUACCUUCCUCUCUCUGAGUUGUGAUCUCAUUGUGGUUUUGCUCAACAUUCCAUUUUGCUUUCCAGUGUUAACCACAUCACAAUGGUAGUAUCUUACCACAGACAUCCUUUGUCACCCAGACAGCCCAUUACCUGUCUUCAAGUUCCUUUCUUUACAUCUGUAUCACAAAGAAUGGGUACAGGCGUCCAUCAUCUGUGGUAACUGAGAACUGUUCUUGGGAUGAUGUGAAACAUGUUUUCUUGGCAGUGAACUUACGUAGAUAGGGAAGCACUUUCUUCAACCUUCUGCUGUCAGGGAAAUGAUAUACAAUAAUAGAAAAUUUACAACAGCU
Molecule: long non-coding RNA, 453 nt
Filed under: Rattus norvegicus (Norway rat)
Lineage: Eukaryota; Metazoa; Chordata; Mammalia; Rodentia; Muridae
Description: long non-coding RNA NONRATT032316
Source: RNAcentral